GCUGUUCACCUGAAUAACAAGGAGACACUGCCUGGCACGCCAACACAUUGCUCACCAUGUUCAUGAGAAUUAUGUCCUUUUCACCUUGGACCAAACUGGGGUUUCUUAACUUGCUUUUACUCUCCUGUUCCUGCAUAUUAGGUUCCCUUACCAGAGGUCUAUAAUAACAAAAGGUAGGUAAAGGUAAAAGGUAAAGGACCCCUGUAUGGUUAAGUCCAGUCAAAGGGGACUAUGGGGUUGUGGUGCUCACCUCACUUUCAGGCCAAGGGAGCUGGUGUUUGUCCAGUGGCGUAGCGUGGGGGGUGCAGGGGGGGCCGGCCGCACCGGGCGCAACAUCUGGGGGGCGCGCUCGCACUCGCAGCUCUCUGCCCCUACCUGGCUCACUCACUCUCUCUCACUGCAGUGCUGGCUGUGCGAAUCCGAUCCGAGCCGCUGGGUCGCCGCCCACUGUGGAGGGGGUGGGUGCCAGGCGUGCGGUGCGGAGAGAGAGCGAGGACUAUCUGGGGGAGGGACAGUGCAGCGGCUGCCCAGCGCAGCGCUGAGCGCGGGAGAGAACCACACCAGACCAGCCCAGGCAGCAGCAAGAAGAAGCUGGCAGCGGCGGCAGGUUAGGGGUUAGGGGGCGCAAAUUACUUGCCUUGCCCCGGGUUAGGGGGCGCAAAUUACUUGCCUUGCCCCGGGUGCUGACAACCCACGCUACGCCGCUGUGUUUGUCCACAGACAACUUUCCAGGUGACGUGGCCAGCAGGACUAAACUGCUUUUGGCGCAACGGGACACCGUGGCAGAAGCGAGAGCUCACAUAAAUGCCAUUUACCUUCCUGCCUUAAUGGUACCUAUUUAUCUACUUGCACUGGUGUGCUUUUGAACUGCUAGGUUGGCAGGAGCUGGGACAGAGCAACGGGAGCUCACCCUGUCGCAGCGAUUCAAAGCACCAACCUUCCAAUUGGCCACCCCAAGAGGCUCAGCGGUUUAGACCACAGUGCCACCCACUCUUCUGCACUGCAGAGAAUGUAUCCACCCCAACUCUUUUUUUACUCUUGCAAAACUGCAUGUGUACAUUUUGAAUGCAAUCUACUGAGACGUUCUCCUGUGCAUGCUACGUCGCAUUGAAUCAGAGCUGUACAACCUUAUAAUUCAUUUCAUUGGGGUUUUGUGCAGGAGACCUUCCAGAUGAAGUGGGCCCUUUGUUGACUUUAAAACCACAGACCUGCUUCCCUGUGCAUCUUAAACGCACACGGGUUGCUGUAUGCGAAACCUUUGGCUACAUUCUCUGGGAUUUGAGGGAUGGAGCGAAUAAUUAUCUGCUGUGAGUUUUUAGUCAUUACUGGGUCGUUAAUGCCUUGAUACUGAUAACAUGUAGCAGUUCACAAGGCAAUAUCAAAUGUUUUCUUUCAGACCUUCAACAAGCUUUGCAGAUAAUAUGACAGCCUAAUAUAGAGUUUGAUGUAUGUGUCUGGAGAGAAAAAAAGGCCGAGGCUCUUUAGUUAGUGCACUGUCCUUAAUGGAUUCUCUAGAUUAAAGUAAUCCCUAUGGGAAUCCACUAUGACAACAAUUCUUACACAGAUUUUCCAGUCACUGCUUCUAUGCCAUAACUGUUCUUUGAAAGUGUUUAUAGUAGUGAAAGGCCACAGUCUAGAUUUUUUUAAAGGAAAAAAAAAAGCUUAUGCUUUAAUUCUAUUAAGGAUAUAAGAGGGUACAUUUGCGUCAGAAUAAUAGUGUGCCCCAUGUGUCCCACAUUCUCGUAUUGUUGACAAUGUGCAGAAAUGUCUAGCUGUCUUCUAGCUAAAGGGUGAUCUUAACGUUUAUAUUUAAAUAAUUAUUAUUUAUAACACAGGAGAAGUUAUGCUAGGGAUGUAAGACGGCAGUCAACCUGUAUUUGUCACCAUCAGUGCUGUUUCUGUUCCACUGCAGUUCAGUUUCCACCAAAUACUAUGUUAUUUGCCUCCAUGCUUACUAUUUAAUAUAAGGUACCUAACUUACCUAACUUACAUUUGUUUCUGCGUAAAAAAAUAAUCACGAUGCAUCUCCUGGACUGAAGUUUGCUUAAAUGUUGCAAAAACCUUAAGUACAGUCAUACUUGGAUCCUGAACACCCUGGAACUCAGACACCGCAAACCUGGAAGUGAUUGUUCUGGUUUGAGAACAUUCUUUUGGAACCUGAACAUCCAAUGGGGCUUCUGCGGCUUCCUGCAGCCAAUCAGAAGCCACGAUUUGGUUUUCGAACGUUUUGGAAGUCAAACGGACUUCCAGAAUGGAUUCUGUUCAACUUCCAAGGUACAACUGUACUCAAUAGGGAGGGGACAGCAUCCCCCUAUCUUUCGUGAAAAUGCAUCUGCAUAUUUACAUAUCACUGACUCAGAUGUUUAGGGAGCAGUCCCAGCUCAGGGGUGGUGAACUUGCUUUGCGCAGACACACACAGGAUUAUCUAAUUUCAAUACUGCUUAAUAUAUUUAAAAUAUCUCUAAGUGGUGUACGGAAAACUGAAGAGAUAACAGACAACUGAAACAAAAUAUUACAAAACACACAGUUACAUAUAAGAAUGUUGCAUAAAUGAGAAGGUCCUAAUAUGUAUAAAUCAAUAUGAAUUCAUUUUCCUUUGAAAUAAAUAAAUUAAUAAAUAAUAAUAAUAAUAAUAAUAAUAUAAAUUUAUACCCCGCCCACUCUGGGUGGCUUCCAACAGAAUAUUAAAAUACAAUAACCUAUUAAACAUUAAAAGCUUCCCUAAACAUACUCUCCCUCUCAGCCUCUGGGUUCUCACUCAGGGUCCAAACAAACUCUCAGCUCACCCAUCAAAGUCUCACAAUGAGAAAAGUUCCUGGAAAUAGUGGACAUCACUCUCAUCAGUCAUAUAUAUAUAUAUAUAUAUAGAGAGAGAGAGAGAGAGAGAGAGAGAGAUAUUCAUAAAAAAUCAUGUGUGUGUGUGUGUGUGUGUGACAACAGGUUAUAUGUGAAUUUUCCACUGGAGAGCCAAAGCCAGUAGAUAGAGCUGGACUUAGCUAAGGGAGCUUCAUAUGUUCCUGAUGGUCAUUGGUGAAGAUAGGAAUUUGUAUUUCCUUUCAAUUGUCCCAAAGUGGUGGCUGGCCACUCCUGCUAGCCAACUGCUUUGCAGGCUGCUUCUGGAGACAGUAGCUCACUGGAAGGACAGAUCCUGAAGCUGAGGCUCCAGUACUUUGGCCACCUCAUGAGAAGAAAAGACUCCGUGGAAAAGACCCUGAUGUUGGGAAAGAUGGAGGGCACAAGGAGAAGGGGACGACAGAGGACGAGAUGGUUGGACAGUGUUCUCGAAGCUACCAGCAUGAGUUUGACCAAACUGCGGGAGGCAGUGGAAGACAGGGAGUGCCUGGCAUGCUCUGGACCUGGCAUGCUCUGGACCAUGGGGUCACGAAGAGUCGGACACGACUAAAUGACUAAACAACAACAAUGCAGUGCCAUCCUUCAAGUGCUACUCUACUCCCAUCUUAUGAACCUGGCAGGGUGUGUAUGCAUGGAGGAAGGGGUGGGGAGGAGGGAGAGGAGGAAGCCAGUGGUCAACAUAAAAGUGGAAAUGGACUCUUGCAUCAUUCAGUAUCUGCCUUCUGUCAAACUUAAUUAGCAUCUGUGCUUGCUGACUCAUUCACAAGAAUCCUGUGUGCUGACAAAGACAGGUGUGUGAAGCAGAGCCAGCAGUGGAGGGUUGGGCUGUUUUGUCAUUAGCAGAAACAAAGUCAAAGUUAGCAAAACAGUGUUUAAUCAAAACACAAGUCAAAGACAUUUUGGCAUGCAAGGAGCUUCCUCUGCCCUCUCCCUCCUUGCAAACUCAAAUCUAAACAAUAUAUCCUGGUCAAAGUGCAACUGUACAGCUAUCUGGUUUCAGAACUUUUGUUUUAAUAUGCUCAACUGCAAAAACAUUUUGCAGCCCUUUCUCCAGCUGGAGCAAACAUUCACCGUUCAAUUUGUUUUCAAGAGCUCAAAACGUCAACAUCUCGGGUUCUUUUUCUCGCCGACAGAGUUGUCAGAGGCGCAGCCCCUUUCCACAAGUCCCACAAACUUGGAUUUCAGCUUCUCAGUUUGUCUUUCCUGUUUCCCACACACUGCAGUCACAAACCUUUGACCAGGGCAAAAAGUGACCACUAAUUAGCUCGAAUGUCUCCAGGUCUGCUUAUAACCCCGUGGACACAAUGGCAAAGAGAACAGCACGCUGUGACCCGUUUCCAUAUUUAGACAAAGAGUGGAAAAUGACAGGGGCGAGGAAGUAGUAGUUUUGGAACUGUGCAAGUCAAAAAAAUAAUUACUUUUGGAAAUCUCUUCUUGAGAUUCUUGAUGUCAUCACUAGUACUCGAAAAGCUGGGAUAAAGUGAUGCAUUUAUAAAUGGCUUGGGGUUAACAGACACAAUGGUUUCUUACUGGUGUUUUCCACAUGUAGGAACUUAGGCAUCAGCCACACCAUAAGUGAUCAUGACAAACCCAACUUGUUUCGGCACUUUUCUGUAAGAGGGCAAUUGCAGUUACAUUCUUGCAGAGGAAUCAUGUCUGGGCUCAGCAGAGAGCAUGAGAUUCUUUGCCCAAGGCUUCAGAAUCAGGUGUAGGACAAAGGGAACACCUAACUUUCCAUAGCCUCAUCUCUGGCCCUGAUUCCAGGCCAACAGCUAUGCAUGACACAACCAGUCCUCAUGACAGUAGUGCUUCCAUGCUGCAGAACACAGUGCCCAAAAAUAGAGUGAAUCUUCCCAGGAGCAGGAGGGCAGUAUAGAUUUGGAACCGUGGUUUGCAGAGGGACAUAGUCCAGAAGGCAGAAGCUGGGAAAUACUGGAUGGUGAACAGCUAGGAGAAGAAACACUGGAAGAGAGAGGGUUAACAGAUUCACUGUCUGUGGAAAGCAUUCGGGUAUAGGGCGGUAUAGAAAUUAAAUAAAUAAUAAUAAUAAUAAAAUAAUAAUAAUUCCUCCGCUCUCCCCAAGGUCAAGAAGAGCUCAGAAAGUGGCAGAACAGAAAGCACACAAAGCACAGAGGGUACAAGAUCAGAUUACAAGAUGUAGAAAUGUUGUAGAUUAAUAGAGACAUAAGAGGGUGGAAUCCUUAAUUGGGAGCACUGCCAUUCCUAGAAGAUGGGUUCUUUGUUCUCUUGCUGUGAUUAUUAAAUUUUCUAACUGGUAAGAA
Podarcis lilfordi (Lilford's wall lizard) is the source of this 5135-nucleotide non-coding RNA. The record is from the annotation of a GenBank genome assembly. NCBI's taxonomy places the organism in Eukaryota, Metazoa, Chordata, Lepidosauria, Squamata, Lacertidae.